This 357-nucleotide ribosomal RNA is filed under the name uncultured bacterium. Its description in RNAcentral is "bacterial SSU rRNA". It matches the Rfam family "Bacterial small subunit ribosomal RNA", at positions 29 to 412 of the family's 1533-position model. The record is from RNAcentral.
AACGAACGCUGGCGGCAGGCUUAACACAUGCAAGUCGAACGGGCACCUUCGGGUGUCAGUGGCAGACGGGUGAGUAACGCGUGGGAACGUACCUUUCGGUUCGGGAUAACCCAGGGAAACUUGGGCUAAUACCGGAUACGCCGGUAACGGGAAAGAUUUAUCGCCGAAAGAUCGGCCCGCGUCGGAUUAGCUAGUUGGUGAGGUAACGGCCCACCAAGGCGACGAUCCGUAGCUGGUCUGAGAGGAUGAUCAGCCACACUGGGACUGAGACACGGCCCAGACUCCUACGGGAGGCAGCAGUGGGGAAUAUUGGACAAUGGGCGAAGCCUGAUCCAGCCAUGCCGCGUGAGUGAAGAA